This is a long non-coding RNA of Xyrauchen texanus (razorback sucker), 3089 nucleotides long. RefSeq lists it as uncharacterized. NCBI's taxonomy places the organism in Eukaryota, Metazoa, Chordata, Actinopteri, Cypriniformes, Catostomidae. The record is from RefSeq and is a predicted model, not a curated record. The transcript is spliced from 3 exons.
UCAUGUUUACCCCUCAGUUGCCAGAGCAGCACAUAAAAAUGAAAAAUGAUCAAAUGCACUUUCAAGAAUAAAACAAAAUUCCUUUCUAAAAAAACAAAAUCAGAUUGGUCAGAUGGGGCCUUUUAAGGAUGAAACCACAUCUGACAUCAUAUAUGAUCACGCACACCUUUUCCACUUCCUCACCCCCUAUCAUGUCGCCCAUAAAACGGCAACAUGUACAAAUACUCACACUUCACCUACCUAAAGCCAUCUUUCUCUCCGGUAAACCAGGUCAGCAAACAAAAAGCAAUUAUGUUAGGCAGCUGCUGCCUGGGAGUGGGUAAUUACAGUGCAGUGUGGACAGCUUCAUUCUAAACAGGUACUAAAAGCAUCAUUAAUCAUUUCCAUCAUGAUGCCUCAGUCCGUUAAUGCUCACGUGACGUGCUGCCAAGGGCCCGCCAGGGAUGGAAGCAGGCAUCUGCGGGAGAUGCCACUGUGCGAUUGGCUGACGGCAGAAGUCCUUGCGAAGGUCAGCCAGUCAGCUGGGCUGACCCGCCUAUGACCUCUUAUCACUUGACUUUUGAAAGGCUGGAGAUCAUGCCUUGAUAUCAGCUGGAGAGUGAGCAAGAGAGCGGGAGGGUAAGAUAAAUGGCACUGAGGGAGAGACAUGGAGGAGAGGAAUGGUGGAGGGAUGGAUGAAUAGGAGAGAGGGGGAAGAUUGAAGACAUUUAGGAUGAAAAAUAAAACAGUGGGUUGAUUGAGCACCGAGGGUUUUCCCCUAUACACAGACUGACCAAUAGAAAUGCGCAUCAUUAUUAUGCAUUAUUGCUUUUCCUGCAGAUGCAUUUUUAGGUCUUAAGCAGGUCCAGAAACCUUUGGUGCCACCCUUUCUUUCGCUUUUUCUGAUUUAUGCCUGUUCUAUAUCUAUAUUACAACUUAAAGACAGCAUUAAAACAGCAUUAAAAUAAAACUAUAUCAAAAUGCUACAUUGGUUUAUUAUAAUUAUUUAAAUAAGACAGUGUUCAAUUUAACAUAUAAACCUAAUUAAUGAGCCUCAGGUGCAAAGACAAUAACAUGGUUGCAUCCGUCAGCAUUCUGUGUAUUGCAACAUGAUGUUUCUGUGUUGUAAACUGCUUCACGGUGACUUGGUUAGUGUGGCAGUCUUGAACUAGGUCUCUGUUAGACAUGGAGAGGAAGAUUGAGAACAAUGCUUUAUCUGAAAGCCAGACAGACAGACAGACAGACAGACAGUGUCCUCUCAUUGUGCCCUGCCUCUUUUCUUCUGCUCCUCACAUCUCCCCCUCCACCUCUUCUUUCUCCUCCAUGUGUGUCUGUGAAGCUAUCACUAUGGCAACCUCACCGAAGGCAGGAGGGAAGUGUGUCUAUGGCAAGGGGGCUGGCUUAGUUCAGACAAAUAAGCAUUGCAGGGCUCAUUUAUUCAAUUUUGUUAACCAGAAAAAAUGAAACAAGAAAGGUCAAAUACAUAUGCGUUUGCAUAUUCAUUUACACGUUUAUGUUUAUAUCACUUGUGCAAAAUGUAAGGAAUGAAAUAUAAGGUUUAUUUUGGUGAAUGAUGCAACUGAAUAAAAUGUCUGGCAGUCCAAUUGAGCCUUGUAUCUGUUAAGAGAAAGCCUUGAAAUAUUACUAUUAAUUUUUCUGUGUUGCCCGUCAAAUUGUUUUUCUAUUUGAUGAAGAAUAUGCUACUUUUCGUUGUUCAUUAAAUGUUUCCUUUUGUUUUCGUACCCCUAGAAAAAACAAAUAUCAGCAUCAGCAGAAUCUAUGCUCUUGUUUUCUUGCUUUUUAGGUCCCUGUAUUGCUUGUCUGCAUCUUUUCAAAGGGCAAACCAAAUCCUGUGAGUCCGCAGUACUACACCAUAGAGGUCAGCGCUGCUUCUUGGGAACCACACAUAAAGGCCUCCUUUAUUUAUUCCAGCAACAAUUGCCAAAGAAGGGCAUGUACAGCCAAAUCUGGGCUCUGUGCUCCCCUCCCCCUUCUCCGAGAGCACAAUUUCUUAGCCUGCCAGAAGUGCUGAGUGCUGCUGUUUGCUUUGUAUACACAGAAAUUUGCUGAGGCUGUAAGCUGUCCCCAAACAUCUGUUCUCAGGAGUCUUAAAUGUGCACAAUAGUAACCAACUAUAUCAAGGACCACCCAUCAGAAGCAUCCACAAGAAGAGGAAGCCACACAGGUGAGACAUGCAGUGGCUUUUAAAAAGGACAGCUAUGAAAACAUUUCACCUGUAUUUUAAGUUUAAAACAACCAAUUCACAUACUAAACCAUAAUAGUCACAUUAUAUGAAGUAGUUUGAACAUUCUGAAAAUGUUUGCAUUUUAAGUAGGAUGAUUUCCCUCCAUUAUAAUAUGGUAUAAUAUUGCCGUUUUCUGGGAUUAUUAUUAUUUGUAUUCAAUUAAAUAUGGAAUUUUGAUGGCUGUUAUUUGGGUGAAACUGCUCGGGAUGAUUUUAUUGAUUUAGUAAUCGAAGACAAAGAGAUAAAAUCCUUUUCAGUGAAUUGCUAAUGCUGAAAUGAACCAUGAGACAUGUACAGAAUCUAUAUAAAGCAGCCAAGUUUAAAGAUACAAAAUAAAGAUAAAAUGCAUCAACUAAUUAUAAGAAGGAAUGAAUAUGAGGAAUCUGAUCUGUGUUUGUUUGAAUUAUAUGAGUGCUGUCCCCACAUAAAUCUGAUAUACUGUAUUGUCCUAUAUGACGAUAUAGUAUAUAAAACUUUAGUUAAUUUGGUUGUAUAUGUACUUAAAUUCCACUAGGAUUUGGGGAAAGAUAUGAUGCAUAUAGAGUAAUUGGCAAUUUUUUUUAUAAUUUGAAAAAUAUAUUACAUAUAUGUACAGGUAGCCUAUAUGUGACAUUUUAUGUCUGUGAAAAUAGUACAUGAACAUAUAGAUGGCUUUUUUCUGUGCUUCUAUAUUUAUGUCUUUUUUGUUCUUGCAAUAAAGCAAAAAAAAAAAAAGCAUAAAGCCAUCUUGGAGGUCACAAAGCUCAGUGUAUUUGCGUCUGGAGUCAUUGAUGCGCACUCCAAUGCAACUGUUACUUAUAGGCCCUUAAUACAGUAAAUAAUGUAUGCUUUCGGUCAUCAUUCUAAGAGCAUUGCUUAGGGAGGU